UGGGGAAUCUUGGACAAUGGGGGCAUCCCUGAUCCAGCGACGCCGCGUGGGUGGUAAGGCCUUCGGGUUGUAAAGCCCUUUCACCGGGGAAGAUGAUGACAUUACCCGGAGAAGAAGCGCCGGCUAACUCCGUGCCAGCAGCCGCGGUAAGACGGAGGGCGCUAGCGUUGUUCGGAAUCACUGGGCGUAAAGGGCGCGUAGGCGGCUGUUUAAGUCGAGGGUGAAAGCCCGGGGCUCAACCCCGGAACGGCCUUCGAAACUGGGCAGCUCGAGACCGGAAGAGGAAAGUGGAAUACCCAGUGUAGAGGUGAAAUUCGUAGAUAUUGGGUGGAACACCAGUGGCGAAAGCGGCUUUCUGGCUCGAACCUGACGCUGAGGCGCGAAAGCGUGGGGAGCAAACAGGAUUAGAUACCCGCGUAGUCC
RNAcentral lists this ribosomal RNA (423 nucleotides) under uncultured prokaryote. Its description in RNAcentral is "bacterial SSU rRNA". It matches the Rfam family "Bacterial small subunit ribosomal RNA", at positions 355 to 796 of the family's 1533-position model. The record is from RNAcentral.